RNAcentral lists this ribosomal RNA (253 nucleotides) under uncultured bacterium. RNAcentral's name for it is "partial 16S ribosomal RNA". It matches the Rfam family "Bacterial small subunit ribosomal RNA", at positions 524 to 776 of the family's 1533-position model. The record is from RNAcentral.
CACGUAGGGGGCGAGCGUUGUCCGGAAUUACUGGGCGUAAAGCGUGCGCAGGCGGUCUUUUAAGUCAGAUGUGAAAUCCCCGGGCUUAACCUGGGAACUGCGUUUGAAACUGGAAGGCUUGAGUGUGGCAGAGGGGGGUGGAAUUCCACGUGUAGCAGUGAAAUGCGUAGAGAUGUGGAGGAACACCGAUGGCGAAGGCAGCCCCCUGGGCUAACACUGACGCUCAUGCACGAAAGCGUGGGGAGCAAACAGG